GAAAAAACUGGAGAGAUGGGGGAUGGAAGCCUGGGAGUCACAUUUUUUCAAGCAAGACAUCACAGAGGGUGAGGCCCAGUGACAGAGAUGACAGAUAUUCAAAGAUGGAAUGAAAGAGGUUUGGUGACUGGAUAUAAGCAACGAAACAGGAAGAAUUGAAUUUGGGUCUGAUAUUUCCUGGAUGCAAGAUCAGGAGGAUGUUGGCACCAUGGCUUAGUGGGGAAACUGGGGACCGAUUCUGGAGGUAUACCAGCAUGGUGAGUUUGGUUUUAGAUGGGUUGUGUUUGACAUAGGGCUAGCAAUUCUAAGUGAAGAUGUCUAAAGAAAGAUAGAAGUGACUCAGCUCUGAAGUUCUGAAAUGAUCAGCCAUCAGCGUGGCAUGAGGAAGACCUAGGAACAGACAGACUGGGGAGAAGACACAGAGCCAAGCAGGACCUGGCCUGCAGCCCAAACCCUGUGGAAUCCCUACAUUCAAGGACCAGGUUGAAGUGAAGCCAUUGACAGGAACUGAGAUGCAGUAGUGUUCUGGAAGUCAAGUGAGGAGGAGGAUUGAAGAAGAGGUUGGUCAAAAUUCUGGGGGGUUGCCCAGUGGAAACACCAGACUGCAAAGCUUUGAGAAGUCUGUAUGAGAUGAACAACUGGAAAAGGUUCUUCGUGAAGAAUUUGUGUGGUGAAGAGCUGGAAUAGCGGCUUGAGGGAGAGAAGCCA
RNAcentral lists this long non-coding RNA (708 nucleotides) under Homo sapiens (human). Its description in RNAcentral is "non-protein coding lnc-HRH4-2:3". Lineage: Eukaryota; Metazoa; Chordata; Mammalia; Primates; Hominidae. The record is from RNAcentral.